This 347-nucleotide RNase P RNA is filed under the name Candidatus Pelagibacteraceae bacterium. RNAcentral describes it as "RNase P RNA component class A". It matches the Rfam family "Bacterial RNase P class A". Rfam says of the family: Ribonuclease P (RNase P) is a ubiquitous endoribonuclease, found in archaea, bacteria and eukarya as well as chloroplasts and mitochondria. Its best characterised activity is the generation of mature 5'-ends of tRNAs by cleaving the 5'-leader elements of precursor-tRNAs. Lineage: Bacteria; Pseudomonadati; Pseudomonadota; Alphaproteobacteria; Candidatus Pelagibacterales; Candidatus Pelagibacteraceae. The record is from RNAcentral.
CCAGAUGAUUGGACGACUGCUCGUGAGAACGAGAGGAAAGUCCGGGCUCCUCAAGAAUGUGGUGCCGGGUAAUUCCCGGCGAAGGUGACUUCAGGGAAAGUGCCACAGAAAAUAAACCGCCUGAAAAGGCAAGGGUGAAAAGGUGAGGUAAGAGCUCACCGCAUUUUUGGUAACAAAAAUGGCAGGGUAAACCCCACCAGGAGCAAGAUCUAAUAGAGUUAUAAUAGUUUAUUCUUGGCUAUAACUGGGUUGAUCGCAUGAUUUUGCUGGUAACAGCAAAACUAGAUGAAUGGUCGUCAUUUUUAGCAAUAAAAAUACAGAACCCGGCUUAUAUAUCAUCUGGCACA